RNAcentral lists this long non-coding RNA (1184 nucleotides) under Panax ginseng (ginseng). RNAcentral's name for it is "long non-coding RNA (PGIN_LNC006197)". Lineage: Eukaryota; Viridiplantae; Streptophyta; Magnoliopsida; Apiales; Araliaceae. The record is from RNAcentral.
AAGAGAUGAGAAUAAUAAUAUUAUAUUAUUGUUAUAAUGAUUUUAUAGUACAAUAAAUAUGUACUGUGUAUGUGCGGACAAUAAUAUUAAGCAAUGACGGUCAAUUAGGUCAUAGCACAGUACUGUGCUGUGAAACCCUAAUUAUUAAACUCAGUUAUGAGAUAUGACUGAGUAGUGACUGUGUAUAUGAAGGUUACUGUGUAUAAGAUGUCGGUAAUUAGAAGAAAACCCUAAUUACUGUUGUAUGUCGAUAAUUAGGACAAACCCUAAUUAUUACAACCCUAAUCGGUUGAAGUUAGAGAUCGUAAUGACUGUGUUAGAACAUACACAGAUAAUUAGAGAACCCUAAUGGUCAAUUAGAAACCCUAAUUGAUGGCGUUAAGAAACCCUAAUUAGAAAAUCCUAAUUUUCUAUAGAAAACCCUAAUUUAAAAUUAUCGGGUUUAAUUACGAUGUUAAUGUAUAAAUGUUUUAAUUUACCAAAGGAUGAAAAGUAAUUGGUAAAUAAUAAGAAUUACCAUCUAGUGAUUAAAUAUUACAUUUAAUUGCCAUGUACAAGAAUGCCCAUGAAAUUAUAUGGGAAAUUACCAAAAUACCCUUUUUGUCCAUUUUAGUGUAUUAUUAGUAGCAUUGUUGAUGGAAUCUUCAAUUAUGCUAGCUAAUCAAUGGCUUCUAGAAUUCCCUCAUGCUACUAUACCAUUACACCUCAAUUAUACCAACCCUAUUGAGCAUCCAAGGCACUUGACAUGGUCUAUAUAUAGAGAUUGAGGGAGAAAUAAUGCAAAUGCACACUAAUAUUUUCUAAACUCUCUAGCCACACUCUCUCAAGCUCUUACCAACGAAAUUCUCUUACCCAUAAGCUCCUAAUCAAAGCCCAACCAUCACAAACAACAAAUCAGAAGCAUCAAAGCCAAAAAAAUCAGAAAUCGAAGCUAGAAAAGGUAUGAAAUUCCCUAAUUUUGAAAUCCUUCGAUUCGAUGUUAAUUGAUGCAAUUGAUUGUUUAAAGUAGUGUAAUAGGGAGUCUAUUAAUGUUCUGGGUUGUAAAAACACAGACCCAUAACAUCAAAGUUCACGAAUUUGAAGAUUUAAGCAAGUUGGAAAAACCGAAUUCUGUUAUUUUUCACCAAAUGUCAGAGGCUAUAACUCUUUGUUCGAUCAUGAGUUUUGUUGUUUAAAGGUUGUUA